CCUACGGGAGGCAGCAGUGGGGAAUCUUGCGCAAUGGGGGAAACCCUGACGCAGCGACGCCGCGUGGAGGAUGAAGGUCUUCGGGUUGUAAACUCCUUUUCUUGGGGAAAAUGAUGAUGGUACUCAAGGAAUAAGCCACGGCUAACUCUGUGCCAGCAGCCGCGGUAAGACAGAGGUGGCGAGCGUUGUUCGGAAUUACUGGGCUUAAAGGGCGAGUAGGCGGUAGGGCAAGUCUGAGGUGGAAUCCUAUGGCUUAACCAUAGAACUGCCUUAGAAACUGCUUUACUUGAGUCAGUGAGGGGAGGGCGGAAUUCCUGGUGUAGCGGUGAAAUGCGUAGAUAUCAGGAGGAAGGCCUGUGGCGAAAGCGGCCCUCUGGCACUGUACUGACGCUGAGGCGCGAAAGCGUGGGGAGCAAACAGGAUUAGAUACCCCGGUAGUCCUAGCUGUAAACGAUGGACACUAGAUGUUCCCGCGUUCAUGCGGGAGUGUCGCAGCUAACGCGUUAAGUGUCCCGCCUGGGGAGUACGGUCGCAAGAUUGAAACUCAAACUCAAAGGAAUUGACGG
This 566-nucleotide ribosomal RNA is filed under the name uncultured bacterium. RNAcentral describes it as "bacterial SSU rRNA". It matches the Rfam family "Bacterial small subunit ribosomal RNA", at positions 338 to 916 of the family's 1533-position model. The record is from RNAcentral.